Molecule: long non-coding RNA, 975 nt
Filed under: Phascolarctos cinereus (koala)
Lineage: Eukaryota; Metazoa; Chordata; Mammalia; Diprotodontia; Phascolarctidae
Description: lncRNA (ENSPCIG00000035149.1)
Source: RNAcentral
UGAGAACAGCAAGAUUAAUAGGACGUUAGCGAGUUAUUGAUAGUAAGCUUUCCUUUUUUUAAAUGACCUCAGCUGGAAGAGGAAUUGAAAGCACAGAUUGAAAUGUGGGAAAAGGAACAUUCCAAGGCUUUUGUGGUGAAUGGCCAGAAAUUCAUAGAAUAUAUGAUGGAACAGUGGGAGAUGUUUCAUUUGAAGAAAGAGAAAGAAAAGCAGGAGCAAAUGCUGAAUCAUAUACAGGUUGGUAGAGAUACUUAGAGGAUGUACUGGCAGAAAUGGACAUAAGCAGACCUUCUGUGGACGGCUGCAGCGGCUGCACUCCAGCCUCCUCAGGGUGUGAUCUAUCUGCAGCUCCUAGAGCCUGCCUGCUCAGUUGCCACCAUUCUUUGGGUCAGAGAAAGACAGCGCUGCUGCAGCUGACUCCAUGGAGCUCUCACCCUCCCUUGCUGUCUCCAGCGGUAUGAGGACUCCGUUGCCACCGCACCAGACCCCACCAACCACCGCUUCCAUCUCCAUGACGUGCUCUGGCUGUCACACCAUACCACAAAGUGCUACUGGCCUCAUUUCUCUCUGUGGACUCAUCAAUGGAACUGAAAAGUGUCAUCACACUUGCCGUGUGAACCUUGGAGACAAAGGUAUGACCAGAGCUGAAUAGAUGAAGGGAAGUGGAGUAGAAGAGCUUAAAGAGUUUGAACUUGGGAAGUGUGCAAGUAGUUACAAGCUCAUCUGCACUUGGAUACUGGAAGUUUUCACUUGAAAUCUCACUUCAGCUCGAAGUUGAAGCAACCUGGUUCAUUCACCUUGACAAACUAAGCUUCAAAUAACUCCUUUGUAAAAUAUAGGGAGGACUGGCUCUUACCUUACUCACCAGCCAUGAUAACGCAAUGUCAAAAGAAGUCCAGAAAUCACAAGAUACUGACAAUCACAUCAUCUUCAUCACCACCAUAACUGUCAUUCCUAUGAUUGGAGCUAUACUUC